AUCCAAGUGCAGGGGUUUUACGCGUAUCAGUGAGGAUUCGUCCGAGAUCGCGUUUUUGCUAGUUGAAAACUACAUACCUGACCGCUCCUGCCAGGCUUGUACUGGUAGGGAAUUUUUGUAACCUCUCUCUCCUUGUGGG
RNAcentral lists this small nuclear RNA (139 nucleotides) under Podospora anserina S mat+. RNAcentral's name for it is "U4 spliceosomal RNA". It matches the Rfam family "U4 spliceosomal RNA". From Rfam's summary of the family: U4 small nuclear RNA (U4 snRNA) is a component of the major U2-dependent spliceosome. Lineage: Eukaryota; Fungi; Ascomycota; Sordariomycetes; Sordariales; Podosporaceae. The record is from Rfam by way of RNAcentral.